GCUGGGGUAGCUCAGUGGUAGAGUACUUGCCUAGCAUGUAUGAGGCCUUGGGUUUGAUUCUCAGCACCACA
RNAcentral lists this transfer RNA (71 nucleotides) under Ictidomys tridecemlineatus (thirteen-lined ground squirrel). RNAcentral describes it as "Spermophilus tridecemlineatus (thirteen-lined ground squirrel) tRNA". It matches the Rfam family "tRNA". Rfam says of the family: Transfer RNA (tRNA) molecules are approximately 80 nucleotides in length. Their secondary structure includes four short double-helical elements and three loops (D, anti-codon, and T loops). Lineage: Eukaryota; Metazoa; Chordata; Mammalia; Rodentia; Sciuridae. The record is from Rfam by way of RNAcentral.